AGAACGAACGCUGGCGGCAUGCCUAAUACAUGCAAGUCGAACGAACACUUCGGUGUUAGUGGCGCACGGGUGCGUAACGCGUGGGAAUCUGCCCUUGGGUUCGGAAUAACAGUUGGAAACGACUGCUAAUACCGGAUGAUAUCGAAAGAUCAAAGAUUUAUCGCCCAGGGAUGAGCCCGCGUAGGAUUAGCUAGUUGGUGAGGUAAAGGCUCACCAAGGCGACGAUCCUUAGCUGGUCUGAGAGGAUGAUCAGCCACACGUGGGACUGAGACACGGCCCAGACUCCUACGGGGAGC
This 296-nucleotide ribosomal RNA is filed under the name uncultured soil bacterium. RNAcentral describes it as "partial 16S ribosomal RNA". It matches the Rfam family "Bacterial small subunit ribosomal RNA", at positions 26 to 349 of the family's 1533-position model. The record is from RNAcentral.